AACGAACGCUGGCGGCAUGCCUAACACAUGCAAGUCGAACGAGACCUUCGGGUCUCGUGUCGCACGGGUGCUUAACGCGUGGGACCCUGCCCUUAGGUUCGGAAUAACUCCCCGAAAGGGGUGCUAAUACCGGAUAAUGUCUUCGGACCAAAGAUUUAUCGCCUUUGGAUGGGCCCGCGUUGGAUUAGCUAGUUGGUAGGGUAAAAGCCUACCAAGGCGACGAUCCUUAGCUGGUCUGAGAGGAUGAUCAGCCAAACUGGGACUGAGACACGGCCCAGACUCCUACGGGAGGCAGCAGUGGGGAAUAUUGGACAAUGGGCGAAAGCCUGAUCCAGCAAUGCCGCGUGAGUGAUGAAGGCCUUAGGGUUGUAAAGCUCUUUUACCCGGGAUGAUAAUGACAGUACCGGGAGAAUAAGCUCCGGCUAACUCCGUG
This 433-nucleotide ribosomal RNA is filed under the name uncultured bacterium. RNAcentral's name for it is "partial 16S ribosomal RNA". It matches the Rfam family "Bacterial small subunit ribosomal RNA", at positions 29 to 507 of the family's 1533-position model. The record is from RNAcentral.